ACCUGGCUGGCUCAGUCGGUAGAGCAUGGCACUCUUGAUCUUGGGGUCGUGAGUUCGAGCCCCACGUUGGGUG
RNAcentral lists this transfer RNA (73 nucleotides) under Felis catus (domestic cat). It matches the Rfam family "tRNA". From Rfam's summary of the family: Transfer RNA (tRNA) molecules are approximately 80 nucleotides in length. RNAcentral also lists the same sequence under 5 other names. Lineage: Eukaryota; Metazoa; Chordata; Mammalia; Carnivora; Felidae. The record is from Rfam by way of RNAcentral.